AAGACGAGAAGACCCCAUGGAGCUUUAAGCUAGCUUCACAUCUGUUUUGUACGCCCUUUGAUUAAACAGAGCACUGCCUGCUUAGCUUUAGGUUGGGGUGACCGCGGAAUAUAACACAACUUCCGCGAUGUGCAACUAUUUUCCUAUCUAAGAAUUACUAUUCUAAGAAUUAGCAUUCUAACAUACAAUGAUCCGAUAAUCGAUCAACGGACUAAGUUACCCUGGGGAUAACAGCGCAAUCCAUUUCAAGAGCCCCUAUCGA
This 262-nucleotide ribosomal RNA is filed under the name Gephyromantis sergei. Its description in RNAcentral is "partial 16S ribosomal RNA". It matches the Rfam family "Bacterial large subunit ribosomal RNA", at positions 2077 to 2508 of the family's 2925-position model. The record is from RNAcentral. Lineage: Eukaryota; Metazoa; Chordata; Amphibia; Anura; Mantellidae.